This 1498-nucleotide ribosomal RNA is filed under the name Caligus furcisetifer. Its description in RNAcentral is "SSU rRNA". It matches the Rfam family "Eukaryotic small subunit ribosomal RNA", at positions 131 to 1661 of the family's 1831-position model. The record is from RNAcentral. Lineage: Eukaryota; Metazoa; Arthropoda; Copepoda; Siphonostomatoida; Caligidae.
UCAGUUACUUGGAUAACUGCGGUAAUUCUGGAGCUAAUACAUGCGAAAAAAUCCCGAACUCACGUGAGGGAUGCUUUUAUUAGAUCAAAACCAAACGUUGGUGACUCUGAAUAACUUUUGUAGAUCGUAUGGCUUGAUGCCGGCGACGUAUCCUUCUAAGGUGUGCCCUAUCAACUGUCGACUGUGGCAUAGACGCCCACAGUGGUUUUGACGGGUAACGGGGAAUCAGGGUUCGAUUCCGGAGAGGGAGCCUGAGAAACGGCUACCACUUCUAAGGAAGGCAGCAGGCACGCAAAUUACCCAAUGGUCGAAGACCGAGGUAGUGACGAAAAAUAACGAAGCCGGACUCAUCCGAGGCCCGGUUAUCGGAAUGAGUACACUUUAAAUCCUUUAACGAGGAACAAUUGGAGGGCAAGUCUGGUGCCAGCAGCCGCGGUAAUUCCAGCUCCAAUAGCGUAUAUUAAAGUUGUUGCGGUCAAAAAGCUCGUAGUUGGAUUUCGGUGAGCAAGGAGGGGUUCAUUGUUUGAUGUAACUGCUAUCUUGUCUCGCGAUUUUCGGCAGAGGUUUCACUGGUGCCUUUCAAAGGGUGUCUUGAGAUGCUGUCGGGUUUACUUUGAAAAAAUUAGAGUGCUCAAAGCAGGCUGUUAAAAGCUUGAAUAUUCGUGCAUGGAAUAAUGAAAUAGGAAGUCGUUUCUAUUUUGUUGGUUUUCGGAAAUCGACUUAAUGAUUAAUAGGGACAGUCGGGGGCAUUAGUAUUCAGGCGACAGAGGUGAAAUUCUUGGACCGUCUGAAGACUAACUACUGCGAAAGCAUUUGCCAAGAAUGUUUUCAUUAAUCAAGAACGAAAGUUAGAGGUUCGAAGGCGAUCAGAUACCGCCCUAGUUCUAACCAUAAACGAUGCCAGCUAGCGAUCCGCAGUUGUUUUUAUUACGACUCUGCGGGAAGCUUCCGGGAAACCAAAGCUUUUGGGUUCCGGGGGAAGUAUGGUUGCCAAGCUGAAACUUAAAGGAAUUGACGGAAGGGCACCACCAGGAGUGGAGCCUGCGGCUUAAUUUGACUCAACACGGGAAAUCUCACCAGGCCCGGACACUGGAAGGAUUGACAGAUUGAGAGCUCUUUCUCGAUUCGGUGGGUGGUGGUGCAUGGCCGUUCUUAGUUGGUGGAGUGAUUUGUCUGGUUAAUUCCGAUAACGAACGAGACUCUGUCCUGCUAAAUAGUUUCAAUGUCAUUUUUUUUGCAUUGAAAAUUCUUCUUAGAGGGACUGGUAGCGUCUAGCUACACGAGAUUGAGCAAUAACAGGUCUGUGAUGCCCUUAGAUGUUCUGGGCUGCACGCGCGCUACACUGAAAGGAUCAGCGUGUGUUCCCUGACCGAGAGGUUCGGGUAACCCGUUGAACCCCUUUCGUGGUAGGGAUCGGGGCUUGCAAUUAUUCCCCGUGAACCAGGAAUUCCCAGUAAGCGUAAGUCAUAAGCUUACGUUGAUUACGUCCCUGCCCUUU